Molecule: long non-coding RNA, 999 nt
Organism: Oryctolagus cuniculus (rabbit)
Lineage: Eukaryota; Metazoa; Chordata; Mammalia; Lagomorpha; Leporidae
Source: RefSeq, a predicted model, not a curated record
AUUCCUGAGAUGCAUUCCACAGGAGUUGGGCAAUUGGGGAGGGGAGGGAAUGGAGGACAGGAGGUCAAAGCCUAGCAAGGAAUGGAAUGUAAGUGUAUGGGGGCUAAGGAAUUUGGGGUACACAGAAAACACAGCCAGAGCAGAUAUCCACAAAGGGAACUGCAGAAAGACAAGGAGCUACAGAGAGAGACAAAGACAGGAGAAAGCUGAAGACAGUCAAAACGCACCAGGGUUGGGGGAGUAACACUCAGUCUGUUACCAAAUUUGGCCUCUGAGUCCGCAACCGCCGGCAGGGGGAGGGUUUGUGGGUAAGACUGACAUAUCCGGCCUCGGGCUGCUGGAAGCUCAUUUAGGGCUGGACUGGGCAGCUGAAAGCCAGGACCUAACUUCCCCCAGUAUAGCCCCUCCACAUCUAGACAGCAUACUCAUUCUCCCAAAUGCGCCCCCGCCUUUGCACAGAGCUCUCUGAAAGAGUGGCCUACACUGUGUGCACAUGGGUUAGCUUCAUCACACAGCCCCUACUCAGAUGGGCACCCUGUUCUGAACAGAGUUCCCACAAACACACCUCCAUCACCCACGCCCCACACCCCUGGCCCACAACACCCCUUUCCCUAGGAUGUAGCCAUUCUCCCUUCGUUCACCCCAAAGCAUCCACUCCUUUUGGGUCUGUUAUAGGGGAGGUGCUGGGCCAAUCUUUCAGUGGCUGGGAACCAAGAUGAGUAAGACCUCGCCUUUGCCUUCAAGGGGCUUCCCGUUCAGAAGAUGAGUGGAGCCACAGCCCAGAAUCCUGCUGGGCCCAGAGCUUCCUAUCCUCAGCAGCCUCCUAGGAGCUGGGGCGGCUGAGGUUUAGGCCAAGGACUGCUCCCGCAGAGGAGCCACCUCCCGCAGAUCGGCCUGCCGAGACACCCUGGAAGCUGACGUCUCCCCCAGAACCCGCCAUAGACGCGCCGCAGUCAGGGGCCGCGCCCGCCCGCCUCCCGGGCCAGACCUCGCGGCCCC